Molecule: ribosomal RNA, 253 nt
Filed under: uncultured bacterium
Lineage: Bacteria
Description: partial 16S ribosomal RNA
Rfam family: Bacterial small subunit ribosomal RNA
Source: RNAcentral
UACGUAGGGUGCAAGCGUUGUCCGGAAUUAUUGGGCGUAAAGAGCUCGUAGGCGGUCUGUCGCGUCGGCUGUGAAAACUCGGGGCUCAACCCCGAGCCUGCAGUCGAUACGGGCAGACUAGAGUGCGGUAGGGGAGACUGGAAUUCCUGGUGUAGCGGUGAAAUGCGCAGAUAUCAGGAGGAACACCGGUGGCGAAGGCGGCUCUCUGGACGGUGACUGACGCUGAGACGCGAAAGCGUGGGGAGCAAACAGG